CGUAACACGUGAGCGACCUGCCCUUCCGGCGGGGAUAGCCGGGCCAACGCCCGGGUAAUACCGCAUACGUUCUUUCUGGGGCAUCCUGGGGAGAAGAAACUUCCGGGGCGGAGGGAGGGGCUCGCGGCCUAUCAGCUAGUUGGGGGGGUAACGGCCUCCCAAGGCGACGACGGGUAGCUGGUCUGAGAGGAUGGCCAGCCACAUUGGGACUGAGAAACGGCCCAG
Molecule: ribosomal RNA, 225 nt
Filed under: uncultured bacterium
Lineage: Bacteria
Description: partial 16S ribosomal RNA
Rfam family: Bacterial small subunit ribosomal RNA
Source: RNAcentral